Molecule: long non-coding RNA, 2463 nt
Filed under: Bemisia tabaci
Lineage: Eukaryota; Metazoa; Arthropoda; Insecta; Hemiptera; Aleyrodidae
Description: lncRNA ENSSSA3NGG002918
Source: RNAcentral
GCAAUUUCUUCAUUUCCAACGGGAACCCUCGAUAGCAACUCCCCCGUCUAAUCCCCGCGCCAGCCAUGCAUCUUCCGCGCCCGCAAUCCUGGCGCCCUCUGCAGACACCAUUCCUUACCAGCCUCCGAGUGUUGCGCAGGUUGUUCAAGACUCGAAUGUUACAGCACUCUUGGCCUAUCUUUCUACUUUUUAUCUCUCAUAAUUCAAAACAUGAGCCUACACUGAAGCCUCGCUCGAAGACUUGUCGAUUAUUCUGCGUAUCCUCCUUUGAAAAUGAAUAAUCAGUGUAAAUUAUAGACAUGGAACAUGAUUUGAAGCUACAUAUAUACUAAAUUGACACUUCUUUACUGCCGUGAUAGCGAAGAGAGCCGUAAGUGCAAAAAUGAAGUUUUGAGUAAACGGGCUCAGAAGCUUCUGACCGGAAAAUUUUAUUGAAAGAAGCCUCCGUUCUUUGUCAAAUUGCCACUAAUCGUCUGAAAGACUCCUAGAAAUCGUUUGGAUGAUUGAAAAUCGACUGAUUUUAUUUAUAUUACAUAAAAAGGCUAUUUUUCAUUUCCAUGCCAGGUUAUUGUUAGACAAGACAGCCGUAAGUGCUAUCUUCUGCAUGCUUUCGUGGUUUCGUUUUGGACACAAAACAAACACAUUUUCAGGUUAGAAAUCGGCAGAUGAGGAUGGCAUUCCUCUUGAAAGCACUGUUUUCAUCGGCUCUCAUGCACCUACGGCUGUCUUGAAAAAAACUAUGUCAUUUUUUGUGCACUUACGGCUUUUUCAUACGUCUCGUUUUCGUUAAAUUAGGAUGAAUUUUGCUGUUUUAGCUGUCUCUGUAAUUCAUCUAAAAGAGUUUAGACGAAUUUAGAAGAAAACUCGAUUUCGAAAAUUUUGCACUUACGGCUCUCUUCGCUAUCACGGCAGUUUAUAUGCCCGCUCGACGGCGUGAACCUCGCAUUAAUUUUUAAAGAUGACAUUGUACUUGUAACAAAAAUCAUGCAACGUCAGUUUCCAAUUUUCUGAUGUGGGUGUCAUGAGUAUUCAUGGUUGCCCUACCCAAUAUUUAUUCAAACUCAAAUUUGUAUUUAGGUCACUCGGAUUUCCUCUCACGUUUAAAAGCUUUUUGAAAUUACUUUUUCAAGGAAUCUCAGGCAAGGUUAUUCAACUUUGUCAGCAGGAUUAUUUACAUUAUUUUACAAUCUUUAUUUGAUUGUGUAUUGCAUGCAAGUUGAGAUUGAUCUUUCGAACAUUUCAGAUCUUACAGCUGCUACACGCACACUAUUCCAGAGGUUAUUUUAGAGCAAUGGUUCAUCUUCCUUCACAAAGAUUAUUUCUCCUACAUUCGGUUCAUUUCUGAGUACAAAUUAAAUAAAAUGAUAAGUUUAUAAAUCUUUCCAACUCAAAGGAAAUUGAUAAAGUUUUGGAUCAUUCAUACGAUGUAGUUUGUAAUGGGUCACUAAACCUUGUUUAUUUUAUUGAAUAUUCUAAAAGUUUUGUGUGAGUAGAUAACGUGUUGAUUUUUCCGCAUUUUUAUGGAGCCGAAAUUGCGGAGAAAACCGCUUCGAAAAAAUCUAAAUACUGCAAGACAUUUCAACAGCACCCAAAUGGCGGGAAACUGACGGUGUUGAUGCACUGCGGUAGUCAUAUCGCAAUCUUCUCUCAUUUUCCUCUGAUGUUUGUUAAAAUAAAACGUAUGUCAAUGUGGAAUUGUUGCCUGUUUAUUACAGCUAACAUAUAAAUGAGAUUCGAGUCUUGAAUUCAAAAGAUAUAAUUUCGACUUUAGUAUUGGUCUCAUAUAAGAAGAGUAGAUAGACAUUUGACGGACGUCGUGGAGACCCGUGCCCGCUUCUGAUUGGUGCCGGAUGACAUCAUUCGGUGCGGCGCGAAACCGGGGCGUUUUAAAUUUGCGUAUAAGUUGAGCGAUUUGAACUGCGCAUUUCUCGGUUAUUGAGUUACUUGUUCGCGUUUUUAAUGUGCGGAUCGUUUUCCACGCGUCAUUUUCCUUCAGAAAACUAUAUUCGCAAGUCAAAAUUCGUUCAUGGUUUAGUGACCCAUUAUCAGUAAAAAUUAUUUGCAGUAAAUAUUUUAAAUGCGAAUGUCAUUGUUUACUCCAAUUAAGAUUUGAGCUUAAAAUUGUUUAGAAAAAUGAAACUUCGUGAAAAACCUAGGUAAAUCAAAGCUCCUGAGCUGACUCCUUCUUCCAGUGAAAGUUACCAAAUGUUAAUUAUCUAAGCUACAGCGUGGAACAAAUUAAUGUUAAUUUCUUCAUAUCCCUCCAAAACUUUUGGAAAACCUUAGAUUUUGUACUUGUAAAUUUGUAAUUUAAAUGUAUCUAUCUUUUUGGAUUAGUUUCACCAUUCUAUUACUUGAUCAAUUUUUCAGCUGGAUUUUAUUUGACGUUUGAGCGUCGCGUAUUUUAUAUGUAAAUAUUAUGCAUAAAAUAUGUUAUCGCUGAAUAAAUUCAAUUACAUGAUU